AACGAACGCUGGCGGCAGGCCUAACACAUGCAAGUCGAACGCCCGUAGCAGUACGGGAGUGGCAGACGGGUGAGUAACGCGUGGGAACGUGCCCUUCGGUUUGGAAUAACUCAGGGAAACUUGAGCUAAUACCAAAUACGUCCGUAAGGAGAAAGAUUUAUCGCCGAAGGAUCGGCCCGCGUCGGAUUAGCUAGUUGGUGAGGUAACGGCCCACCAAGGCGACGAUCCGUAGCUGGUCUGAGAGGAUGAUCAGCCACACUGGGACUGAGACACGGCCCAGACUCCUACGGGAGGCAGCAGUGGGAAUAUUGGACAAUGGGCGAAAGCCUGAUCCAGCCAUGCCGCGUGAGUGAAGAAGGCCUUAGGGUUGUAAAGCUCUUUCAGCGGGGAANAUAAUGACGGUACCCGCAGAAGAAGCCCCGGCUAACUUCGUGCCAGCAG
RNAcentral lists this ribosomal RNA (441 nucleotides) under uncultured bacterium. RNAcentral describes it as "bacterial SSU rRNA". It matches the Rfam family "Bacterial small subunit ribosomal RNA", at positions 29 to 514 of the family's 1533-position model. The record is from RNAcentral.